CCUACAGGAGGCUGCAGUGGGGAAUAUUGGGCAAUGGGCGCAAGCCUGACCCAGCAACGCCGCGUGAAGGAAGAAGGCUUUCGGGUUGUAAACUUCUUUUAAGAGGGAAGAGCAGAAGACGGUACCUCUUGAAUAAGCCACGGCAAACUACGUGGCAGCAGACGCGGUAAUACGUAGGUGGCACGCGUUGUCCGGAUUUACUGGGUGUAAAGGGCGUGCAGCCGGGAAGACAAGUCAGAUGGGAAAUCCCGGGGCUCAACCGCGGAACUGCAUUUGAAACUGUUUUUCUUGAGUACCGGAGAGGUAAUCGGAAUGCCUUGUGUAGCGGUGAAAUGCGUAGAUAUAAGGAAGAACACCAGUGGCGAAGGCGGAUGACUGGACGGCAACUGACGGUGAGGCGCGAAAGCGUGGGGAGCAAACAGGAUUAGAUACCCUGGUAGUC
RNAcentral lists this ribosomal RNA (442 nucleotides) under uncultured bacterium. Its description in RNAcentral is "partial 16S ribosomal RNA". It matches the Rfam family "Bacterial small subunit ribosomal RNA", at positions 338 to 795 of the family's 1533-position model. The record is from RNAcentral.